GUGCUUGCCUCUGUAGCACAUAUACUAAAAGGAAUAAUGCAAAGAAGAUUAGCAUGGCCCCUGUGCAAAAAUGACACAGUUUGGCGAGAUGGCCCAUGUUUUU
Molecule: small nuclear RNA, 103 nt
Organism: Acomys russatus (golden spiny mouse)
Lineage: Eukaryota; Metazoa; Chordata; Mammalia; Rodentia; Muridae
Source: RefSeq, a predicted model, not a curated record